CCGGGUUGCGGACAGUGUCUGGUGGGUAGUUUGACUGGGGCGGUCUCCUCCUAAAGAGUAACGGAGGAGCACGAAGGUUGGCUAAUCCUGGUCGGACAUCAGGAGGUUAGUGCAAUGGCAUAAGCCAGCUUGACUGCGAGCGUGACGGCGCGAGCAGGUGCGAAAGCAGGUCAUAGUGAUCCGGUGGUUCUGAAUGGAAGGGCCAUCGCUCAACGGAUAAAAGGUACUCCGGGGAUAACAGGCUGAUACCGCCCAAGAGUUCAUAUCGACGGCGGUGUUUGGCACCUCGAUGUCGGCUCAUCACAUCCUGGGGCUGAAGUAGGUCCCAAGGGUAUGGCUGUUCGCCAUUUAAAGUGGUACGCGAGCUGGGUUUAGAACGUCGUGAGACAGUUCGGUCCCUAUCUGCCGUGGGCGCUGGAGAACUGAGGGGGGCUGCUCCUAGUACGAGAGGACCGGAGUGGACGCAUCACUGGUGUUCGGGUUGUCAUGCCAAUGGCACUGCCCGGUAGCUAAAUGCGGAAGAGAUAAGUGCUGAAAGCAUCUAAGCACGAAACUUGCCCCGAGAUGAGUUCUCCCUGAGACUUUAGGUCUCCUGAAGGAACGUUGAAGACGACGACGUUGAUAGGCCGGGUGUGUAAGCGCAGCGAUGCGUUGAGCUAACCGGUACUAAUGAACCGUGAGGCUUAACCUUACA
RNAcentral lists this ribosomal RNA (694 nucleotides) under Salmonella enterica. Its description in RNAcentral is "partial 23S ribosomal RNA". It matches the Rfam family "Bacterial large subunit ribosomal RNA", at positions 2240 to 2925 of the family's 2925-position model. Lineage: Bacteria; Pseudomonadati; Pseudomonadota; Gammaproteobacteria; Enterobacterales; Enterobacteriaceae. The record is from RNAcentral. RNAcentral also lists the same sequence under 1 other name.